RNAcentral lists this ribosomal RNA (750 nucleotides) under uncultured Streptococcus sp. RNAcentral describes it as "bacterial SSU rRNA". It matches the Rfam family "Bacterial small subunit ribosomal RNA", at positions 28 to 776 of the family's 1533-position model. The record is from RNAcentral. Lineage: Bacteria; Bacillati; Bacillota; Bacilli; Lactobacillales; Streptococcaceae.
GAUGAACGCUGGCGGCGUGCUUAACACAUGCAAGUCGAACGAAGCUACCCAAAGGAAGUUUUCGGAUGGAAUUUAGGUAGACUUAGUGGCGGACGGGUGAGUAACGCGUGGAUAACCUGCCUUAUACAGGGGGAUAACGGAGAGAAAUUUCCGCUAACACCGCAUAAGACCACAGCACCGCAUGGUGCAGGGGUAAAAUAUUUAUAGGUAUAAGAUGGAUCCGCGUCUGAUUAGCUAGUUGGUGAGGUAAAGGCUCACCAAGGCGACGAUCAGUAGCCGACCUGAGAGGGUGAACGGCCACAUUGGAACUGAGACACGGUCCAAACUCCUACGGGAGGCAGCAGUGGGGAAUAUUGCACAAUGGGGGGAACCCUGAUGCAGCAACGCCGCGUGAGUGAAGAAGGCAUUCGUGUCGUAAAACUCUGUAGUAGGGGAAGAAAGAAAUGACAGUACCCUAAAAGAAAGCCCCGGCUAACUACGUGCCAGCAGCCGCGGUAAUACGUAGGGGGCAAGCGUUAUCCGGAAUAACUGGGCGUAAAGGGUGCGCAGGCGGUUUAACAAGUUAGUGGUGAAAGGCAUAGGCUCAACCAAUGUAAGCCAUUAAAACUGUUUAACUUGAGUGCAGGAGAGGAAAGUGGAAUUCCUAGUGUAGCGGUGAAAUGCGUAGAUAUUAGGAGGAAUACCAGUGGCGAAGGCGACUUUCUGGACUGCAACUGACACUGAGGCACGAAAGCGUGGGGAGCAAACAGG